UCAACCUGGUUGAUCCUGCCAGUAGUCAUAUGCUUGUCUUAAAGACUAAGCCAUGCAUGUCUAAGUAUAAAUAGUAUACAGUGAAACUGCGAAUGGCUCAUUAAAUCAGUUAUAAUUUACUUGAUAAUUUUUCUACAAGGAUAACCGUAGUAAUUCUAGAGCUAAUACUUGCUGUUAACCUGACUUCACGGAAG
This 194-nucleotide ribosomal RNA is filed under the name uncultured eukaryote. Its description in RNAcentral is "partial 18S ribosomal RNA". It matches the Rfam family "Eukaryotic small subunit ribosomal RNA", at positions 1 to 196 of the family's 1831-position model. The record is from RNAcentral.